GGUAGGUGUGGAUCCCCACAGGCUAGGUCUCUGGAGCCAGGAAGAAGUAGGAGGGGAUGAAAAUCAUGUGGGGUCGUGGGUGCGAGAGUGGAGGCAGGUAUUGUAAAAUAUCUAGCACGGUAACAUGUUCGACAGCAAUGGCUCUUCCAUAGGUGGUUUGCUGUUCUUGCAGAGGCCCGCUCAAGGCCAAUGGAGCCGCCCCAGACAGAGGAGAAGCAUCUGGAGGAACCAGACCUGCACAGUCCUAGAUGUUUCACUUGGCAGUGGAGCUAAGGAGUGCUGUCGUGAUAUUCGAGGAGCAGCACAAGGGGGGGAAAAGAAGUGGAGGGUCAGAGUCUGCUCCCCUCGUGCAUUGGAAAGCAAGUAAGAGCGGAGAGACAGCGAACAUUACUGAUGCCAGGCAAGAGCCGUCCAGCUUGGAGCCGAGCAGCCAUCACCGUCAGUGAGAGAAGUGUCUUGUUAGCCGCGCUGGUACAGGAAUUGUCCAGGAACCCUACCCGGAGGAGAGACUCUCAGAAGUGAACCUGAUCAGCCUGAACAUCCUUCUAAGCAGACAUGAACAG
Long non-coding RNA from Mauremys reevesii (Reeves's turtle), 563 nucleotides. RefSeq lists it as uncharacterized. Lineage: Eukaryota; Metazoa; Chordata; Testudines; Geoemydidae. The record is from RefSeq and is a predicted model, not a curated record. The transcript has 3 exons.